RNAcentral lists this ribosomal RNA (260 nucleotides) under uncultured bacterium. Its description in RNAcentral is "partial 16S ribosomal RNA". It matches the Rfam family "Bacterial small subunit ribosomal RNA", at positions 92 to 354 of the family's 1533-position model. The record is from RNAcentral.
CGACCGGCGCACGGGUGAGUAACACGUAUGCAACCUGCCCGUCUCAGGGGGAUAAUCGUCGGAAACGGCGUCUAAUACCCCGUAUGAAGCUGGACGGCAUCGUCUGGUUUUGAAAGAAUAUCGGAGACGGAUGGGCAUGCGGCGCAUUAGCUAGUUGGCGGGGUAACGGCCCACCAAGGCGACGAUGCGUAGGGGUUCUGAGAGGAAGGUCACCCACACUGGUACUGAGACACGGACCAGACUCCUACGGAAGGCAGCAG